Molecule: ribosomal RNA, 772 nt
Filed under: uncultured bacterium
Lineage: Bacteria
Description: bacterial SSU rRNA
Rfam family: Bacterial small subunit ribosomal RNA
Source: RNAcentral
GUCGAGCGGUAAGGCCUUUCGGGGUACACGAGCGGCGAACGGGUGAGUAACGCGUGGGUGAUCUGCCCUGCACUCUGGGAUAAGCCCGGGAAACUGGGUCUAAUACCGGAUAUGACCGCAUGCUGCAUGGUGUGUGGUGGAAAGAUUUAUCGGUGCAGGAUGGGCCCGCGGCCUAUCAGCUUGUUGGUGGGGUAAUGGCCUACCAAGGCGACGACGGGUAGCCGACCUGAGAGGGUGACCGGCCACACUGGGACUGAGACACGGCCCAGACUCCUACGGGAGGCAGCAGUGGGGAAUAUUGCACAAUGGGCGGAAGCCUGAUGCAGCGACGCCGCGUGAGGGAUGAAGGCCUUCGGGUUGUAAACCUCUUUCAGCAGGGACGAAGCGUGAGUGACGGUACCUGCAGAAGAAGCACCGGCUAACUACGUGCCAGCAGCCGCGGUAAUACGUAGGGUGCGAGCGUUGUCCGGAAUUACUGGGCGUAAAGAGUUCGUAGGCGGUUUGUCGCGUCGUUUGUGAAAACCCGGGGCUCAACUUCGGGCUUGCAGGCGAUACGGGCAGACUUGAGUGUUUCAGGGGAGACUGGAAUUCCUGGUGUAGCGGUGAAAUGCGCAGAUAUCAGGAGGAACACCGGUGGCGAAGGCGGGUCUCUGGGAAACAACUGACGCUGAGGAACGAAAGCGUGGGUAGCAAACAGGAUUAGAUACCCUGGUAGUCCACGCCGUAAACGGUGGGCGCUAGGUGUGGGUUCCUUCCACGGGAUCUGUGCCGU